Long non-coding RNA from Equus caballus (horse), 2122 nucleotides. Lineage: Eukaryota; Metazoa; Chordata; Mammalia; Perissodactyla; Equidae. The record is from Ensembl.
AGGAAGUCAUGUUGGGAUGUCACCGUCUCACCUGUUGUCGUUGAUAAGCACUCAGUCGCCCAGCUGCUGAGGGGCCCCACUGGGGGCUUAUUGAUAAGAACGUGUGGAGAAGCAAUGAUGACAAGGGGACAUUUAGACUAUAAAUACCAGGAGUUCGGGAGGAAUAUCCGAGGGUGUUCAGAUUGGGCAAGGCGACCCUUUGCUGAUCUAGAUAGUUCCCGAGGACCUUUGGGGCAUCAGCUCCAGGCGUGGUAAAGGCGACUCUGAAGGGCAGUGGUGGAAGCCUUGCAGCAGCCUCAGGAGAUCAUCUUGUCCGUCAACACCGUCGCCAUGGUCGCUCCCUAGCAACGUGCUCUAGCAACGGGACUUUUACUUCUGCGCUGGCAGCUGGACAGCAGCUUGCGGUUGGCCAGGCCCUCUCUCUCGACACCAACUCAUAUAAAGCCAUGGCUACUCCUCCGACAGCGCCAAUAGCAGUUGUGCCACCAUUUCAAAAUGGAACACCACCUUCUGGUCCAGAUACAACGCCCCUGUCUGUGACAUCCUCUAUUUCCUGCACGGAUCACAAUCCUGGGCACUUUGUUGCAACUGAGGGCUCACCAGCAUCACCAAGCCCAAUCUUUUCACCCUACCCCUCGCCAUCAGCACCACCUCCUCACUGGGAAACCUUUGAUCAAUGGGGAAACCAAGUCCUGAGGGAAGCUGACAAAGCAGUGGAAACCUCUACUUCAAUCCCCACAAGAAUCAACGAGGAUCCUGACCAAUACCUUCCGUUAGACCCUGACUCAAAGGAUGAAGAUUGGCCUGAAUUGCUAACUGACUCUUGGUGUUAUAACCCAGCAUAUAUACCAAGACAAGCAGGAAUUGAAGAGAACAAAAACACACUUUUCCCAGAGUUACGACAGCUUUAAAUCCUGAUGGAAUGGCAAUCGAGACUGUGCUUAAUGACGCUGUGCAAGCUUGUACCUCCUGGAGUUUUCUAAAAAUGGCUGUUACGUGGAAAUGCAACUGUCAAGGAAGCUUAACUGAGUGGCUUAAGAAACCUAAUCUUUGGCCUUUUGGUAAUUGGAUAUGCCACCAUAUUAAAGAAUUCUUUGUUAUGCUUAUAUUGAUAAUAUUAGAUUGCUUAAACUGGUCAUUAAACUAUGGUCUAAAAGGAUGUGUGUCAAAGGACAAUUACCCACAUAACAUAAUUGAGUGUUUGCGAAUAAGAUUAUAAAUGACAUAGAAUCACAGGGUGGGGUGACAUUUUCGUGAACUUAGAUUUGUACGGGCAUUAGGCCCUUAGGAUUAAUUAGAGUGUGAGAGAUUUGAAACCACAGGGCGGAUUGCUGUGUAUUGGUUUGAUACGGUUUCAAAUCCACUUGUUUAUGACUUAAGUGAAGUUGUUUUAAUCCACUUGUUUAGGGCAAGAUUUCUAAAAGGUUGUUUUUAGAAGGGAAGUUGUGUAAGGAGGAAGUCAUGUCAGGAUGUCACCGUCUCACCUGUUGUCGUUGAUAAGCACUCAGUCGCCCAGCUGCUGAGGGGCCCCACUGGGGGCUUAUUGAUAAGAACGUGUGGAGAAGCAAUGAUGACAAGGGGACAUCUAGACUAUAAAUACCAGGAGUUUGGGAGGAAUAUCCGAGGGUGUUCGGAUUGGGCAAGGCGACCCUUUGCUGAUCUAGAUAGUUCCUGAGGACCUUUGGGGCAUCAGCUCCAGGCGUGGUAAAGGCGACUCUGAAGGGCAGUGGUGGAAGCCUUGCAGUAGCCCCCGAAGAAGAUCAUCUUGUCCGUCAACACCGUCGCCAUGGUCGCUCCCUAGCAACGUGCUCUAGCAACGGGACUUUUACUUCUGCGCUGGCCGCUGGACAGCAGCUUGCGGUUGGCCAGGCCCUUUCUCUCGACACCAACUCAUAUAAAGGACCGUGGCCCUCCCCAGACCAGUUAGCCAGGACCUCCUCGCAAUCCUGCCUCAAGAGAGGUCAGAUACUUCACAUGGGCACAGAUAUCAAAGAACUCUUUAAGUUUUAAAAUAGGCUUUUGGAAUUUGGGACUAAGACAAUGCUUCAAUAGAAAGGGUUUUAGAAUUCACAAAGCUUACCCUUGACUUGUAUGCUGAAAGUAAAACACAGAAGAACCCAGG